CAAUCAAACCGGGAGAUAGCUGGUUCUCCCCGAAAGCUAUUUAGGUAGCGCCUCGUGAAUUCAUCUCCGGGGGUAGAGCACUGUUUCGGCUAGGGGGCCAUCCCGGCUUACCAACCCGAUGCAAACUGCGAAUACCGGAGAAUGUUAUCACGGGAGACACACGGCGGGUGCUAACGUCCGUCGUGAAGAGGGAAACAACCCAGACCGCCAGCUAAGGUCCCAAAGUCAUGGUUAAGUGGGAAACGAUGUGGGAAGGCCCAGACAGCCAGGAUGUUGGCUUAGAAGCAGCCAUCAUUUAAAGAAAGCGUAAUAGCUCACUGGUCGAGUCGGCCUGCGCGGAAGAUGUAACGGGGCUAAACCAUGCACCGAAGCUGCGGCAGCGAACGUAUCACCCAAGACAACUUUACGGAGUUGACGAUUGACGGAGCGAAGCGACGUCAAAGCGUUCAUUAAAGUCGAGUUGGCUUAGGGAUACGUUCGUUGGGUAGGGGAGCGUUCUGUAAGCCUGUGAAGGUGUGUCGUGAGGCAUGCUGGAGGUAUCAGAAGUGCGAAUGCUGACAUAAGUAACGAUAAAGCGGGUGAAAAGCCCGCUCGCCGGAAGACCAAGGGUUCCUGUCCAACGUUAAUCGGGGCAGGGUGAGUCGACCCCUAAGGCGAGGCCGAAAGGCGUAGUCGAUGGGAAACGGGUUAAUAUUCCCGUACUUGGUGUUACUGCGAAGGGGGGACGGAGAAGGCUAUGUUGGCCGGGCGACGGUUGUCCCGGUUUAAGCGUGUAGGUGUGUGUUCCAGGUAAAUCCGGUUCACUUUAACACUGAGGCGUGACGACGAGGCACUACGGUGCUGAAG
RNAcentral lists this ribosomal RNA (846 nucleotides) under Salmonella enterica subsp. enterica serovar Typhimurium. RNAcentral describes it as "partial 23S ribosomal RNA". It matches the Rfam family "Bacterial large subunit ribosomal RNA", at positions 830 to 1590 of the family's 2925-position model. The record is from RNAcentral. Lineage: Bacteria; Pseudomonadati; Pseudomonadota; Gammaproteobacteria; Enterobacterales; Enterobacteriaceae.